UACGUAGGUCCCGAGCGUUGUCCGGAUUUAUUGGGCGUAAAGCGAGCGCAGGUGGUUUAUUAAGUCUGGUGUAAAAGGCAGUGGCUCAACCAUUGUAUGCAUUGGAAACUGGUAGACUUGAGUGCAGGAGAGGAGAGUGGAAUUCCAUGUGUAGCGGUGAAAUGCGUAGAUAUAUGGAAGAACACCAGUGGCGAAAGCGGCUCUCUGGUCUGUAACUGACGCUGAGGUUCGAAAGCGUGGGGAGCAAACAGG
RNAcentral lists this ribosomal RNA (252 nucleotides) under uncultured bacterium. RNAcentral describes it as "partial 16S ribosomal RNA". It matches the Rfam family "Bacterial small subunit ribosomal RNA", at positions 524 to 776 of the family's 1533-position model. The record is from RNAcentral.